GACGAACGCUGGCGGCGUGCUUAACACAUGCAAGUCGAACGGAAAGGCCCUGCUUUUGUGGGGUGCUCGAGUGGCGAACGGGUGAGUAACACGUGAGUAACCUGCCCUUGACUUUGGGAUAACUUCAGGAAGCUGGGGCUAAUACCGGAUAGGAGCUCCUGCUGCAUGGUGGGGGUUGGAAAGUUUCGGCGGUUGGGGAUGGACUCGCGGCUUAUCAGCUUGUUGGUGGGGUAGUGGCUUACCAAGGCUUUGACGGGUAGCCGGCCUGAGAGGGUGACCGGCCACAUUGGGACUGAGAUACGGCCCAGACUCCUACGGGAGGCAGCAGUGGGGAAUAUUGCACAAUGGGCGGAAGCCUGAUGCAGCAACGCCGCGUGCGGGAUGACGGCCUUCGGGUUGUAAACCGCUUUCGCCUGUGACGAAGCGUGAGUGACGGUAAUGGGUAAAGAAGCACCGGCUAACUACG
RNAcentral lists this ribosomal RNA (466 nucleotides) under uncultured bacterium. Its description in RNAcentral is "partial 16S ribosomal RNA". It matches the Rfam family "Bacterial small subunit ribosomal RNA", at positions 28 to 505 of the family's 1533-position model. The record is from RNAcentral.